RNAcentral lists this ribosomal RNA (444 nucleotides) under uncultured bacterium. RNAcentral's name for it is "SSU rRNA". It matches the Rfam family "Bacterial small subunit ribosomal RNA", at positions 26 to 518 of the family's 1533-position model. The record is from RNAcentral.
AGAGCGAACGCUGGCGGCAGGCCUAACACAUGCAAGUCGAGCGCCCCGCAAGGGGAGCGGCAGACGGGAGAGUAACACGUGGGAACGUACCCUUUGGUUUGGAACAACACAGGGAAACUUGUGCUAAUACCGGAUAAGCCCUUACGGGGAAAGAUUUAUUGCCAAAGGAUCGGCCCGCGUCUGAUUAGCUUGUUGGUGAGGUAACGGCUCACCAAGGCUACGAUCAGUAGCUGGUCUGAGAGGAUGAUCAGCCUCACUGGGACUGAGACACGGCCCAGACUCCUACGGGAGGCAGCAGUGGGGAAUAUUGGACAAUGGGCGCAAGCCUGAUCCAGCCAUGCCGCGUGGAUGAUGAAGGCCCUAGGGUUGUAAAGUCCUUUCGACGGGGAAGAUAAUGACGGUACCCGUAGAAGAAGCCCCGGCUAACUUCGCGCCAGCAGCCGC